CCCUUUCUCUCGGCACUUCGGUUUCCAGCUACGGGGCAGACACAGCGGAGGAUCGGAAAAGCGGAGAACCCAGAUCUGAAGGAGCGACUCCAGCCAGAGGCUGAAGCCGGCGCACGAUGUGAGCUGCUACUUGUUACUGAGACUGAAGUACUUGAUCUGCAAAACUAUCAUCUCUCUCAAAAGUAUUCCAAACCUUAAUGCUUUAGAUGGCUUUACUAUUGAGUGCCUGUGCUGCUAAGUAGGAAAACAAAAUUAAGGAGGAGAUUCUGCACUACUGAGGAAAGACUGAAAGAACAGCAAAGAAUGGAGCACCUCGCACA
This is a long non-coding RNA of Calypte anna (Anna's hummingbird), 320 nucleotides long. RefSeq lists it as uncharacterized. The record is from RefSeq and is a predicted model, not a curated record. Lineage: Eukaryota; Metazoa; Chordata; Aves; Apodiformes; Trochilidae. The transcript is spliced from 3 exons.